Molecule: ribosomal RNA, 1345 nt
Filed under: uncultured bacterium
Lineage: Bacteria
Description: bacterial SSU rRNA
Rfam family: Bacterial small subunit ribosomal RNA
Source: RNAcentral
GAUGAACGCUAGCGGGAGGCCUAACACAUGCAAGCCGAGCGGUAGAGAUCUUUCGGGAUCUUGAGAGCGGCGUACGGGUGCGGAACACGUGUGCAACCUGCCUUUAUCAGGGGGAUAGCCUUUCGAAAGGAAGAUUAAUACCCCAUAAUAUUUAGAAUGGCAUCAUUUUAAAUUGAAAACUCUGGUGGAUAGAGAUGGGCACGCGCAAGAUUAGAUAGUUGGUGAGGUAACGGCUCACCAAGUCUGCGAUCUUUAGGGGGCCUGAGAGGGUGAUCCCCCACACUGGUACUGAGACACGGACCAGACUCCUACGGGAGGCAGCAGUGAGGAAUAUUGGACAAUGGGUGCGAGCCUGAUCCAGCCAUCCCGCGUGAAGGAUGACGGCCCUAUGGGUUGUAAACUUCUUUUGUACAGGGAUAAACCUAGAUACGUGUAUCUAGCUGAAGGUACUGUACGAAUAAGCACCGGCUAACUCCGUGUCAGCAGCCGCGGUAAUACGGAGGGUGCAAGCGUUAUCCGGAUUUAUUGGGUUUAAAGGGUCCGUAGGCGGAUCUGUAAGUCAGUGGUGAAAUCUCACAGCUUAACUGUGAAACUGCCAUUGAUACUGCAGGUCUUGAGUGUUGUUGAAGUAGCUGGAAUAAGUAGUGUAGCGGUGAAAUGCAUAGAUAUUACUUAGAACACCAAUUGCGAAGGCAGGUUACUAAGCAACAACUGACGCUGAUGGACGAAAGCGUGGGGAGCGAACAGGAUUAGAUACCCUGGUAGUCCACGCCGUAAACGAUGCUAACUCGUUUUUGGGAUGCAAGUUUCAGAGACUAAGCGAAAGUGAUAAGUUAGCCACCUGGGGAGUACGUUCGCAAGAAUGAAACUCAAAGGAAUUGACGGGGGCCCGCACAAGCGGUGGAUUAUGUGGUUUAAUUCGAUGAUACGCGAGGAACCUUACCAAGGCUUAAAUGGGAAAUGACAGGUUUAGAAAUAGACUUUUCUUCGGACAUUUUUCAAGGUGCUGCAUGGUUGUCGUCAGCUCGUGCCGUGAGGUGUUAGGUUAAGUCCUGCAACGAGCGCAACCCCUGUCACUAGUUGCCAUCAUUAAGUUGGGGACUCUAGUGAGACUGCCUACGCAAGUAGAGAGGAAGGUGGGGAUGACGUCAAAUCAUCACGGCCCUUACGCCUUGGGCCACACACGUAAUACAAUGGCCGGUACAGAGGGCAGCUACACAGCGAUGUGAUGCAAAUCUCGAAAGCCGGUCUCAGUUCGGAUUGGAGUCUGCAACUCGACUCUAUGAAGCUGGAAUCGCUAGUAAUCGCGCAUCAGCCAUGGCGCGGUGAAUACGUUCCCGGGCCU